GACGAACGCUGGCGGCGUGCUUAACACAUGCAAGUCGAACGGAAAGGCCCUGCUUGCCGGGUACUCGAGUGGCGAACGGGUGAGUAACACGUGGGUGAUCUGCCCUGCACUUCGGGAUAAGCCUGGGAAACUGGGUCUAAUACCGGAUAGGAGCCAUUUUUAGUGUGAUGGUUGGAAAGUUUUUUCGGUGUAGGAUGAGCUCGCGGCCUAUCAGCUUGUUGGUGGGGUAAUGGCCUACCAAGGCGGCGACGGGUAGCCGGCCUGGGAGGGUGGACGGCCACAUUGGGACUGAGAUACGGCCCAGCCUCCUACGGGAGGCAGCAGUGGGGAAUAUUGCACAAUGGGCGCAAGCCUGAUGCAGCGACGCCGCGUGGGGGAUGACGGCCUUCGGGUUGUAAACUCCUUUCGCUAGGGACGAAGCUUUUUGUGACGGUACCUAGAUAAGAAGCACCGGCUAACUACGUG
This 465-nucleotide ribosomal RNA is filed under the name uncultured bacterium. RNAcentral's name for it is "partial 16S ribosomal RNA". It matches the Rfam family "Bacterial small subunit ribosomal RNA", at positions 28 to 507 of the family's 1533-position model. The record is from RNAcentral.